Molecule: long non-coding RNA, 837 nt
Organism: Alosa alosa (allis shad)
Lineage: Eukaryota; Metazoa; Chordata; Actinopteri; Clupeiformes; Clupeidae
Exons: 3
Source: RefSeq, a predicted model, not a curated record
GGUGGUGGUGAACGUGAUAUCCCUUUUUUUAAGGUUAUGUUGUGUGCAUGUAAGUUGAUGGAUGAUGGUGGUGGUUGUGAAUGUGAGAUCUGGUUGUUCUUUUUUAAGGUUAUGUUGUGUGCAUGUAAGUUGAUGGAUGAUGGUGGUGGUUGUGAAUGUGAUAUCUGGUUGUCCUUUUUUAAGGUUAUGUUGUGUGCAUGUAAGUUGAUGGAUGGUGGUGGUGAACGUGAUAUCCCUUCUUUAAGGUUAUAUUGUGUGCAUGUAAGUUGAUGGAUGGUGGUGGUGAACGUGAUAUCCCUUCUUUAAGGUUAUACUGUGUGCAUGUAAGUUGAUGGAUGGUGGUGGUGAACGUGAUAUCCCUUCUUUAAGGUUAUAUUGUGUGCAUGUAAGUUGAUGGAUGGUGGUGGUGAACGUGAUAUCCCUUCUUUAAGGUUAUAUUGUGUGCAUGUAAGUUGAUGGAUGGUGGUGGUGAACGUGAUAUCCCUUCUUUAAGGUUAUAUUGUGUGCAUGUAAGUUGAUGGAUGGUGGUGGUGAACGUGAUAUCCCUUCUUUAAGGUUAUAUUGUGUGCAUGUAAGUUGAUGGAUGGUGGUGGUGAACGUGAUAUCCCUUCUUUAAGGUUAUAUUGUGUGCAUGUAAGUUGAUGGAUGGUGGUGGUGAACGUGAUAUCCCUUCUUUAAGGUUAUGUUGUGUGCAUGUAAGUUGAUGGAUGGUGGUGGUGAACGUGAUAUCCCUUCUUUAAGGUUAUAUUGUGUGCAUGUAAGUUGAUGGAUGGUGGUGGUGAACGUGAUAUCCCUUCUUUAAGGUUAUGUUGUGUGCAUGUAAGUUGAUGGAUGGUG